AAUCAACGCUGGCGGCGUGCCUAACACAUGCAAGUCGAGCGCGAAAGCGGGGCAACCCGCAAGUAGAGCGGCGAACGGGUGAGUAACGCGUGGGUGAUCUACCUCCGAGUGGGGAACAACAUCGGGAAACUGGUGCUAAUACCGCAUGACAUCCUCAGGUCACACUGAGGAUCAAAGCCGGGGACCGUAAGGCCUGGCGCUUGGAGAGGAGCCCGCGUCCGAUUAGCUAGUUGGCGGGGUAACGGCCC
RNAcentral lists this ribosomal RNA (248 nucleotides) under uncultured bacterium. Its description in RNAcentral is "partial 16S ribosomal RNA". It matches the Rfam family "Bacterial small subunit ribosomal RNA", at positions 32 to 266 of the family's 1533-position model. The record is from RNAcentral.